CCUACGGGUGGCAGCAGUGGGGAAUAUUGGGCAAUGGGCGCAAGCCUGACCCAGCAACGCCGCGUGAAGGAAGAAGGCUUUCGGGUUGUAAACUUCUUUUAUCAGGGACGAAGCAAGUGACGGUACCUGAUGAAUAAGCCACGGCUAACUACGUGCCAGCAGCCGCGGUAAUACGUAGGGGGCAAGCGUUAUCCGGAUUUACUGGGUGUAAAGGGAGCGUAGACGGGAAGGCAAGUCUGAUGUGAAAGCGCUGGGCUCAACCCGGGGACUGCAUUGGAAACUGACUGACUGGAGUACUGGAGAGGCAGGCGGAAUUCCUAGUGUAGCGGUGAAAUGCGUAGAUAUUAGGAAGAACACCAGUGGCGAAGGCGGCAUGCUGGACAGUAACUGACGUUGAGGCUCGAAAGCGUGGGGAGCAAACAGGAUUAGAUACCCGAGUAGUC
Molecule: ribosomal RNA, 443 nt
Filed under: uncultured bacterium
Lineage: Bacteria
Description: partial 16S ribosomal RNA
Rfam family: Bacterial small subunit ribosomal RNA
Source: RNAcentral